GAGAUAAAGAAGGGGCCAACAAAGCUAAGGAAAUAUGAUGUUGUAAUGCAUUGCCAAACCUGUGGAGAGGAAGGACACAACAAAAGAAGCUGUCCACAAAGGCUACUACAAUCACAACAAGGUUUUGUGCCCACAAAAGAGGAAACUGGUGCACAUCAUCACUCGGGGGCUGCUCCAUCUCAAACUAGGCCACAAGGAACUUCUAAACUACAUGUGUACCGAGGCGGUCGUGUGAAUCAAGUCACAAGAAAGGCUAAUGAAAUGGCAUCACAACCCCAACGUGUUGCCA
This is a long non-coding RNA of Malus domestica (apple), 289 nucleotides long. RefSeq lists it as uncharacterized. The record is from RefSeq and is a predicted model, not a curated record. Lineage: Eukaryota; Viridiplantae; Streptophyta; Magnoliopsida; Rosales; Rosaceae.